GUGCUCACUUUGGCAGCAUAUAUACUAAAAUUGGAAUGAUACAAAGAAGAUUCGCAUGGUCCCUGGACAAGGAUGACCCGCAAAUUCACUUCGUAGGGAACCUGCCCCAUUGAU
RNAcentral lists this small nuclear RNA (114 nucleotides) under Sciurus vulgaris (Eurasian red squirrel). Lineage: Eukaryota; Metazoa; Chordata; Mammalia; Rodentia; Sciuridae. The record is from RNAcentral.